AAAGGAAUUGACGGGGGCCCGCACAAGCGGUGGAGCAUGUGGUUUAAUUCGACGCAACGCGAAGAACCUUACCCAGACUUGACAUGCAGUGGACGGGUGUGGAAACACACCUUCCCUUCGGGGCCGCUGCACAGGUGCUGCAUGGCUGUCGUCAGCUCGUGUCGUGAGAUGUUGGGUUAAGUCCCGCAACGAGCGCAACCCUUGUCUCUAGUUGCUAACAGGUGAUGCUGAGCACUCUAGAGAGACUGCCGGUGAUAAACCGGAGGAAGGUGGGGAUGACGUCAAGUCCUCAUGGCCCUUACGUCUGGGGCUACACACGUGCUACAAUGGCCGGUACAAAGGGUUCCGAUACCGCGAGGUGGAGGCAAUCCCAAAAAACCGGUCUCAGUUCGGAUUGCAGUCUGCAACUCGACUGCAUGAAGUCGGAAUCGCUAGUAAUCGCUGAUCAGCAGGCAGCGGUGAAUACGUUCCCGGGCCUUGUACACACCGCCCGU
Molecule: ribosomal RNA, 494 nt
Filed under: uncultured bacterium
Lineage: Bacteria
Description: bacterial SSU rRNA
Rfam family: Bacterial small subunit ribosomal RNA
Source: RNAcentral